UAGGGAAUAUUGCACAAUGGGGGAAACCCUGAUGCAGCGACGCCGCGUGAGUGAUGAAGGCCUUCGGGUCGUAAAGCUCUGUCGUAUGGGACUAACACAAUGAAGGUACCAUGCAAGAAAGGAUCGGCUAACUUCGUGCCAGCAGCCGCGGUAAGACGAGGGAUCCUAGCGUUGUUCGGAAUUAUUGGGCGUAAAGCGGGUGUAGGCGGACUUGUAAGUCAGGUGUGAAAUCCCAGGGCUUAACCCUGGAAGUGCACUUGAUACUGCAAGUCUUGAGUGUGGUAGAGGCUAUUAGAAUUCCUGGUGUAGUGGUGAAAUACGUAGAUAUCAGGAGGAAUACCGGAGGCGAAGGCGGAUAGCUGGGCCAACACUGACGCUGAGACCCGAAAGCGUGGGGAUC
RNAcentral lists this ribosomal RNA (400 nucleotides) under uncultured bacterium. RNAcentral describes it as "bacterial SSU rRNA". It matches the Rfam family "Bacterial small subunit ribosomal RNA", at positions 355 to 769 of the family's 1533-position model. The record is from RNAcentral.